AUUGAACGCUGGCGCAUGCCUUAACAUGCAAGUCGAACGGUAACAGGUCUUCGGAUGCUGACGAGUGGCGAACGGGUGAGUAAUACAUCGGAACGUGCCCGAUCGUGGGGGAUAACGGAGCGAAAGCUUUGCUAAUACCGCAUACGAUCUACGGAUGAAAGCAGGGGACCGCAAGGCCUUGCGCGGACGGAGCGGCCGAUGGCAGAUUAGGUAGUUGGUGGGAUAAAAGCUUACCAAGCCGACGAUCUGUAGCUGGUCUGAGAGGACGACCAGCCACACUGGGACUGAGACACGGCCCAGACUCCUACGGGAGGCAGCAGUGGGGAAUUUUGGACAAUGGGCGAAAGCCUGAUCCAGCCAUGCCGCGUGCAGGAUGAAGGCCUUCGGGUUGUAAACUGCUUUUGUACGGAACGAAAAGACUCCUUCUAAUAAAGGGGGUCCAUGACGGUACCGUAAGAAUAAGCACCGGCUAACUACGUG
RNAcentral lists this ribosomal RNA (480 nucleotides) under uncultured bacterium. RNAcentral describes it as "bacterial SSU rRNA". It matches the Rfam family "Bacterial small subunit ribosomal RNA", at positions 30 to 507 of the family's 1533-position model. The record is from RNAcentral.